AUUUGAAAUCUGGCGUCUUCGACGUCCGAGUUGUAAUUUGAAGAAGGCGACUUUGUAGCUGGUCCUUGUCUAUGUUCCUUGGAACAGGACGUCAUAGAGGGUGAGAAUCCCGUGUGGCGAGGAUCCCAGUUAUUUGUAAAGUGCUUUCGACGAGUCGAGUUGUUUGGGAAUGCAGCUCUAAGUGGGUGGUAAAUUCCAUCUAAAGCUAAAUAUUGGCGAGAGACCGAUAGCGAACAAGUACAGUGAUGGAAAGAUGAAAAGAACUUUGAAAAGAGAGUGAAAAAGUACGUGAAAUUGUUGAAAGGGAAGGGCAUUUGAUCAGACAUGGCGUUUGCUUCGGCUUUCGCUGGGCCAGCAUCAGUUUUAGCGGUUGGAUAAAUCCUCGGGAAUGUGGCUCUGCUUCGGUAGAGUGUUAUAGCCCGUGGGAAUACAGCCAGCUGGGACUGAGGAUUGCGACUUUUGU
This 463-nucleotide ribosomal RNA is filed under the name Kluyveromyces marxianus. RNAcentral describes it as "eukaryotic LSU rRNA". It matches the Rfam family "Eukaryotic large subunit ribosomal RNA", at positions 113 to 586 of the family's 3401-position model. The record is from RNAcentral. Lineage: Eukaryota; Fungi; Ascomycota; Saccharomycetes; Saccharomycetales; Saccharomycetaceae.